AUGACGAGCGCCGCCCGCAAGCUAGCCCUGGCCCUGGCCGAGUCGGCGCAGAAGGCCAGCGAGGCCGCGCCCCCCCCAGCGGAGGACCGCCGCCUCCUCCGCCCACCACGGCCACCACCGCAGCCCCUCCUACCCGUCCCCCCCGCCCCAGCGCCCGGACGGCCCCCACCCGGCCGACAGGACCCCCCCCACGCGGCCCUCCGUCCUCCACCUGCAGGUGCAGUACUGCGGGCCCCGAGGCGGCCAGUCCGAGCGGGGCUCCCCCCAGCUCCUCUCGGACCCCCACCGCUGCCAACACCCCUCCCACCACCUGCUGCCCACGCACCGCUGUUGCGAGUCCCCGCUGCAGGAGCCCCCGGGGAGCCCCAACGCCAGCCCGCUGGGUUCCGGGGGCCCGGAGGAGGGCCGCCCCAGGAGGCGCUGCCAACGGAGGGACCGGGGCCCGCUGAGGGCCCCCACGACAGAGGAGGAGGACGAGGAGGUGGUCCGAGGGGGCCCCGACGACGGGCGGUGGGCGGAGCCGACCUACCACAACGUGGGCGUGUCCACGCCCACCCAGUCCGCCUUCUGCGCCGUACGGAGCCCGUCCGGCGGCGGCGGCGGCGCCGUCUACGCCAACAGCGACUCGGUCAACGUCUUCAACUUCAGGACCGUCCUGGCCGAGAGCCCCAUGCCCGGCUCGGUGGGGGAGGUCCUGCCCCGGCCGCCCCCGCUCUCCCCCGGCCCCCGCUACGACGAGAGGACGGCCAUGGCGGUGGCGGCGGCCAUGGAGGACGUCUACGGCCGGCGCCACGGCGGCGUCCUGCCCGGCCCCCCGCGGUCGCCCCUCUACCCCCGGCCCGACGCCCUGCCCUUCCACCUGUCCCGCCCCGACGCUGCGUUCCGCCACUCCACGGAGGGCCGCUAUCCCGGCACCCUGGGGCCCAAGCACCCCUCGUCGCCCCAGUACGGCGGCCGCCCCGGCCAUGGCGGCGAGCUGCUGAUGGGCGGCGGCGGCCUCCGGGGGCCGUGGGAGCGUCCGGACGAGGGCCGCCUGCGGCACCCGGCCAUGCGGCGGGCGCGCUCCUUCCACGCGCCGCAAUUCAGCCACUACGAGAUCGCCGAGGCGGAGGUGGUCCCCCCCGAGGCCCUCUACUACGUCCAGAAGCCCCCCGGCUCGGAGCCGCCGUACCGCUGGCUGCUCCAGUCGGACUUCCACCCCUCGGCGCCGUUCGAGGCUGCGCCCGCCCCGUACAGCGGCCGCUACGGCGGCCACUUCCCCACGGACGGCCCCGCCGCCGGGGACCCGCGCUUCUACGGCGAGGCCUUCCGGCCGGGGGGCAUCCGGCACAGCCAGUCCUACACCCUGCGCUCCACCGUGGAGAGCACGCUGGAGCCCGACUACUACCAGCCCCCCCCUCCCCUGCCGCCGCCCCCCCCACCGCCACGCCCCCUCCCCCCACCGGGACCUCUUCCUGGACCGCAGGGAGGCAGUGUUCUACGAGGCCCGGGACGCGGACUCCUUCGGGCGGAGGGUCUACCAGCCGGUCCGGGACCACAACGAGGGGAGGUACCACAGCCCCACGCCAGCCGCGCCCUACCAGCGCCCCUCGCCCCCCCCCGCGGACCCCCGCGGCCGGGAGAUCAUGCACACCAGGAGCCGCUCGGACCCCGGCAACGCCUGCCUGUUCUCUGGGGCCGGCGGCGGGGGGGACCAGCAGCGCGAGGCGUCAGUCGUCACGGUGA
Molecule: long non-coding RNA, 1725 nt
Organism: Gadus morhua (Atlantic cod)
Lineage: Eukaryota; Metazoa; Chordata; Actinopteri; Gadiformes; Gadidae
Source: Ensembl